RNAcentral lists this ribosomal RNA (329 nucleotides) under uncultured eukaryote. Its description in RNAcentral is "partial 18S ribosomal RNA". It matches the Rfam family "Eukaryotic small subunit ribosomal RNA", at positions 1470 to 1796 of the family's 1831-position model. The record is from RNAcentral.
CCCUUAGAUGUUCUGGGCUGCACGCGCGCUACACUGAUGCGUUCAACGAGUUUAUGACCUUGCCCGAUAGGGUUGGGUAAUCUUUUUAAAUCGCAUCGUGAUGGGGAUAGAUUAUUGCAAUUAUUAAUCUUCAACGAGGAAUUCCUAGUAAGCGCGAGUCAUCAGCUCGUGCUGAUUACGUCCCUGCCCUUUGUACACACCGCCCGUCGCACCUACUGAUUGGAUGACUCGGUGAAGAAUCGGGACCGUGAGAACAAUCGAUUCAUUUCGAAUGUACUUGUGGGAACCUUUCUUAACCUCGUUUUCUAGAAGAAGGUGAAGUCGUAACA